This is a long non-coding RNA of Mustela erminea (ermine), 329 nucleotides long. RefSeq lists it as uncharacterized. The record is from RefSeq and is a predicted model, not a curated record. NCBI's taxonomy places the organism in Eukaryota, Metazoa, Chordata, Mammalia, Carnivora, Mustelidae. The transcript is spliced from 2 exons.
AGGUCACCGUGGCGAUGGCUCAUGACAGAAUUCUGAGGGUGUCAUGGAGGGAAGGGGGUGGGGGAGGGGUCGAUGGAUGAUGGGCAAUUAAGGCACUUGUUGUGGUCAGCUCUGAGUGGUGGAGAGAAGUGAUGAGUCUCUGAGUUGUACUGCAGAAUGCAAUACUGCGCUAUUCUCAAGGUAGGAGAGUUCUUUAUGGCAUGUAGGCACAUGAUGGGAUGCCAGUAACUUUUCACACUGGUGAGGAAUGUCUGCCAUGCUUUCUCCUCCCACCAAGUACACAGGUAGGCACGCCAGAACACAUCUUCUGAUUGUGAAUAGUGAACUCC